GUUCUAUGCUAAGUAUGUAAACAGAAACAAAAGUAAACAUUCAGUGGGCCUUAAAGUGCUUUUGAUUCCAGCCAGAAGAAAAAAGCAGAUGAACCUACAGAGGCGGUAUGGGAAACCUCCAUAAACUUGAUUAGGCCCAUGAGCCAGAAGCUUGCCUCCUCUGCUAUAUAAUAUUCUUUUUUCUGUAAUCAUGUAGCCUCUCAUAAAGUAACUCUCUUGCCUUUCUUUCUCCAGAGAUUCAGAGUCCUCUGGCUGUGACUAAAAUAAUGUGACAUGACUGCGAGUGACAGGAAUGUUCUUCAGGAGCUGGGUAUACAGUACCACAUGCAGGCUCAUUACUGUGGACAGAUGGACCAUCCCUCUGGUCAAUGAGCCACCUCUGUCAAAGGGACAAAACCAAGAGAUUUUCUGAUUAUGGUCUCUUCACUAGCAAGCAGACAGCGAGACUCCUCCUGGCCCUGCUGAAUGCAGGCACACUGUGCUGUCUAGAAUGGACCAAGCUCUGCUUCUAUGACAACAGAGUUGCCAACUUCCUCUGGCUGAAGUUCUUCUUCCUGGCUCUCCUCUUCUACUCUUUCAUCUGAGGAGGCCUCCUCCAGGCUAAACACAUGCAGCUCCUUAAGCUGCUCUUCAUUGAACAUGGGUUCCAGAACUUUGAUCAUGUUGGUUACCUUUCUCUGGACACAUUCCAACUUGUCAAUAUCUUUCCUGAACGGUGGUGUUGAGAACUGGACAUGGUACUUCAAACAAAGUCUGGCCAAAGAAGAUCACUACAUCAUUUGCGCUCGACAGAAGUACAUUCUCAACAUGACUAGCUACCUAUCUACCAGGGGAUUGGAUCCAUCUAAAACAAUGUCUUCUUUUCUUAAGAGUAAUAGCCUGUUUCCAAAGACCCUUGUUAUCCAUGACAGUAAAAAAAAGUUGCCACUUGUGAUAUGAGAUGACACUACCACACCCUUGAAAGCCCUAUCUCCUAAUUUCUCUGCCCUUUCUAGCUUUUCCAAGCCAGCUACCUUGGCUUUAGGGAAAACGAACCUGUGACCUUAUUAUUGUACUGAGCAGCCCCCCCCCCUCUCUCAACACCUGCUUGGCAGACAGAUAUUUGCAUGUGUUUCACCGAGUGCAAUAAACUAGAUAGGCACUA
Long non-coding RNA from Anolis carolinensis (green anole), 1144 nucleotides. RefSeq lists it as uncharacterized. The transcript is spliced from 3 exons. The record is from RefSeq and is a predicted model, not a curated record. Lineage: Eukaryota; Metazoa; Chordata; Lepidosauria; Squamata; Anolidae.